This 264-nucleotide ribosomal RNA is filed under the name uncultured archaeon. RNAcentral's name for it is "partial 16S ribosomal RNA". It matches the Rfam family "Archaeal small subunit ribosomal RNA", at positions 717 to 982 of the family's 1478-position model. The record is from RNAcentral.
AGACGUCUACAUUAGAUACCCGGGUAGUCCCAGCCGUAAACUAUGCGCGUUAGGUGUAUCGGUGACCACGAGUUACCGAGGUGCCGAAGGGAAACCGUGAAACGUGCCGCCUGGGAAGUACGGUCGCAAGGCUGAAACUUAAAGGAAUUGGCGGGGAGCACCACAACAGGUGGAGCCUGCGGUUUAAUUGGACUCAACGCCGGGAAGCUCACCGGAUAGGACAGCAGAAUGAUUGCUGGGCUGAAGACCCUGCAUGACUAGCUG